RNAcentral lists this ribosomal RNA (2901 nucleotides) under Escherichia coli. RNAcentral's name for it is "23S ribosomal RNA". It matches the Rfam family "Bacterial large subunit ribosomal RNA". The record is from RNAcentral. Lineage: Bacteria; Pseudomonadati; Pseudomonadota; Gammaproteobacteria; Enterobacterales; Enterobacteriaceae.
UUAAGCGACUAAGCGUACACGGUGGAUGCCCUGGCAGUCAGAGGCGAUGAAGGACGUGCUAAUCUGCGAUAAGCGUCGGUAAGGUGAUAUGAACCGUUAUAACCGGCGAUUUCCGAAUGGGGAAACCCAGUGUGAUUCGUCACACUAUCAUUAACUGAAUCCAUAGGUUAAUGAGGCGAACCGGGGGAACUGAAACAUCUAAGUACCCCGAGGAAAAGAAAUCAACCGAGAUUCCCCCAGUAGCGGCGAGCGAACGGGGAGCAGCCCAGAGCCUGAAUCAGUGUGUGUGUUAGUGGAAGCGUCUGGAAAGGCGCGCGAUACAGGGUGACAGCCCCGUACACAAAAAUGCACAUGCUGUGAGCUCGAUGAGUAGGGCGGGACACGUGGUAUCCUGUCUGAAUAUGGGGGGACCAUCCUCCAAGGCUAAAUACUCCUGACUGACCGAUAGUGAACCAGUACCGUGAGGGAAAGGCGAAAAGAACCCCGGCGAGGGGAGUGAAAAAGAACCUGAAACCGUGUACGUACAAGCAGUGGGAGCACGCUUCGGCGUGUGACUGCGUACCUUUUGUAUAAUGGGUCAGCGACUUAUAUUCUGUAGCAAGGUUAACCGAAUAGGGGAGCCGAAGGGAAACCGAGUCUUAACUGGGCGUUAAGUUGCAGGGUAUAGACCCGAAACCCGGUGAUCUAGCCAUGGGCAGGUUGAAGGUUGGGUAACACUAACUGGAGGACCGAACCGACUAAUGUUGAAAAAUUAGCGGAUGACUUGUGGCUGGGGGUGAAAGGCCAAUCAAACCGGGAGAUAGCUGGUUCUCCCCGAAAGCUAUUUAGGUAGCGCCUCGUGAAUUCAUCUCCGGGGGUAGAGCACUGUUUCGGCAAGGGGGUCAUCCCGACUUACCAACCCGAUGCAAACUGCGAAUACCGGAGAAUGUUAUCACGGGAGACACACGGCGGGUGCUAACGUCCGUCGUGAAGAGGGAAACAACCCAGACCGCCAGCUAAGGUCCCAAAGUCAUGGUUAAGUGGGAAACGAUGUGGGAAGGCCCAGACAGCCAGGAUGUUGGCUUAGAAGCAGCCAUCAUUUAAAGAAAGCGUAAUAGCUCACUGGUCGAGUCGGCCUGCGCGGAAGAUGUAACGGGGCUAAACCAUGCACCGAAGCUGCGGCAGCGACGCUGAUGCGUUGUUGGGUAGGGGAGCGUUCUGUAAGCCUGUGAAGGUGUGCUGUGAGGCAUGCUGGAGGUAUCAGAAGUGCGAAUGCUGACAUAAGUAACGAUAAAGCGGGUGAAAAGCCCGCUCGCCGGAAGACCAAGGGUUCCUGUCCAACGUUAAUCGGGGCAGGGUGAGUCGACCCCUAAGGCGAGGCCGAAAGGCGUAGUCGAUGGGAAACAGGUUAAUAUUCCUGUACUUGGUGUUACUGCGAAGGGGGGACGGAGAAGGCUAUGUUGGCCGGGCGACGGUUGUCCCGGUUUAAGCGUGUAGGCUGGUUUUCCAGGCAAAUCCGGAAAAUCAAGGCUGAGGCGUGAUGACGAGGCACUACGGUGCUGAAGCAACAAAUGCCCUGCUUCCAGGAAAAGCCUCUAAGCAUCAGGUAACAUCAAAUCGUACCCCAAACCGACACAGGUGGUCAGGUAGAGAAUACCAAGGCGCUUGAGAGAACUCGGGUGAAGGAACUAGGCAAAAUGGUGCCGUAACUUCGGGAGAAGGCACGCUGAUAUGUAGGUGAAGCGACUUGCUCGUGGAGCUGAAAUCAGUCGAAGAUACCAGCUGGCUGCAACUGUUUAUUAAAAACACAGCACUGUGCAAACACGAAAGUGGACGUAUACGGUGUGACGCCUGCCCGGUGCCGGAAGGUUAAUUGAUGGGGUUAGCGCAAGCGAAGCUCUUGAUCGAAGCCCCGGUAAACGGCGGCCGUAACUAUAACGGUCCUAAGGUAGCGAAAUUCCUUGUCGGGUAAGUUCCGACCUGCACGAAUGGCGUAAUGAUGGCCAGGCUGUCUCCACCCGAGACUCAGUGAAAUUGAACUCGCUGUGAAGAUGCAGUGUACCCGCGGCAAGACGGAAAGACCCCGUGAACCUUUACUAUAGCUUGACACUGAACAUUGAGCCUUGAUGUGUAGGAUAGGUGGGAGGCUUUGAAGUGUGGACGCCAGUCUGCAUGGAGCCGACCUUGAAAUACCACCCUUUAAUGUUUGAUGUUCUAACGUUGACCCGUAAUCCGGGUUGCGGACAGUGUCUGGUGGGUAGUUUGACUGGGGCGGUCUCCUCCUAAAGAGUAACGGAGGAGCACGAAGGUUGGCUAAUCCUGGUCGGACAUCAGGAGGUUAGUGCAAUGGCAUAAGCCAGCUUGACUGCGAGCGUGACGGCGCGAGCAGGUGCGAAAGCAGGUCAUAGUGAUCCGGUGGUUCUGAAUGGAAGGGCCAUCGCUCAACGGAUAAAAGGUACUCCGGGGAUAACAGGCUGAUACCGCCCAAGAGUUCAUAUCGACGGCGGUGUUUGGCACCUCGAUGUCGGCUCAUCACAUCCUGGGGCUGAAGUAGGUCCCAAGGGUAUGGCUGUUCGCCAUUUAAAGUGGUACGCGAGCUGGGUUUAGAACGUCGUGAGACAGUUCGGUCCCUAUCUGCCGUGGGCGCUGGAGAACUGAGGGGGGCUGCUCCUAGUACGAGAGGACCGGAGUGGACGCAUCACUGGUGUUCGGGUUGUCAUGCCAAUGGCACUGCCCGGUAGCUAAAUGCGGAAGAGAUAAGUGCUGAAAGCAUCUAAGCACGAAACUUGCCCCGAGAUGAGUUCUCCCUGACUCCUUGAGAGUCCUGAAGGAACGUUGAAGACGACGACGUUGAUAGGCCGGGUGUGUAAGCGCAGCGAUGCGUUGAGCUAACCGGUACUAAUGAACCGUGAGGCUUAACCU